Long non-coding RNA from Salvia splendens (bonfire salvia), 287 nucleotides. RefSeq lists it as uncharacterized. The transcript has 3 exons. The record is from RefSeq and is a predicted model, not a curated record. Lineage: Eukaryota; Viridiplantae; Streptophyta; Magnoliopsida; Lamiales; Lamiaceae.
CUCCCUCACUCUCUCUGCCUCACACGCCUCCCUCCUCUCUCUAUUCAUUCUCUCAAAAAAAACCCUCCUUCAAUCCUUUGUUCUUGUGUCAAUUGGAGUUGGAACUUCAAGAUUCACCGAAGAAUCGCACCAACUGUCGUUUCUACAGUUUGUUUUUGACCAAAGAAGGGUUGUUGUGUGUACGUGAGCACAAGAAACGAGGGUUGCUUUGAGUUGGGUAUUGUAUUGUUCAAGCAAGCGAGGUUGAGCGGGAUGUUGCGAUGGAUGUUGAGUCGGCCUACAAAUUU